AUGAAUCUGCCCCUUUUACUGGAUCUGCACCAUAAUUUAGUGGAUUCUUCUCUGGCCCACACCCCAUCCCUUAGCCAAGUUUGGUGCAAAUUGGUAGAUACAUGGUUCUGCCACCCCAGGUGGUGGUAGUAUGCAUAUGGACCUAAACAUUGACAGUUUAACUGUAAGGAAAUUGUUAAGUAACAAUAUCAACUAUAUAUGAAAUACUGUUAAGUAACAUUCAGGUGAAUAUAAUUUCAAAUGAACACAUUUCAAACAUUUCGUGCAGCAGCUAAUGUUCAAGGCUAGGUUAACAGAUAAUUGUGCUUGUCAUCACUGCAUUGCUGGUGUUGUUGAAGGGGUACUUUAGUUCAUCUGACAGGGCUGUAGGGGUAAAAAUCAGGGGGAAAAAAAGUUUGGAAACCACUGAUCUAGAAAAUGCGAAGCAUCUCAAGUUACUGUCACUGAGCUCCUCUGUUUAUUCAAAAGACUGUUUUUCCUUUGCAAUGCAGCAUGUUUAUCCAUAAAGAAAUUAAAUUCCUCUACAGGUAGGAAGCAUUGGUUACAUUGAGGCCUGUCAUUCACAUAUCCUUUCACACUGUUGAUGAUUUAGCACUCAGUAUUUUUUAUUUCUUUCUUUCAGUAUUUGUGGAAGUGGAUAAUUCUGUGGCUGGUUGAUUGGUUGUACGUUUGUGUCUUUGUAACAUGUUUGAAAUGAUAGAAUCACAGAGAGGCCUCAACUGGUCUUUUAUCCUGUUCCUGUCAUUUACCCUCUACAGAGAAGCCCAUCCUUCUUGGCUUCAGUUCGCUGUUUACGCUGGCAGGCUUGCAUUUGCUCCUGCUGCCUGUGACAGCCAUUAAAAUUAGCUCACACAGCGCCAUAAUGGUGAGCAGCUGUCACAGCGUAGACAAGGAGGGUAAAGUGCAGCAUUACAGGAAUGCAUUGGACUCAGACAGAGAAGGGAGGGGAGAGGAUAAUACCAGGACCAUCAUUACUGUCUGGUGAAAGUCUUCUUGCCAUAGUGUGAUACCAAACAAACAUGCUCUACUGCUAACAGACUAUUUUAUCAGCUGAGGUUUAUGUUCUGACCAGAGGGAGAGACAAACAUUAAACUUUGGUGUCCACUUACCAAAGAACUUUUAAAUUACUUGGGGAAAAUCAGCUUAGGAUAAUAACACGAGAUGGUCCGCCUCAUUUCAUCCUCCCAGUACACACUGAACCUUUUUCACACACGUGAGCAGUGUAUUAUUUACUCGUUGAGCACAACCUUAGACACAUUUGGAUCACAGUCAUUUUGAAUCUCUUUGCAAACCACAGUAGAGAGUCACGUGCUCAGCCUGUGUGUAUUCAGUAGUGAGAGCGAGAAAACACCCAGGGAAGGUCAAUAAAUAUGAGGCAACGUCCCAAACACCUCUGUGGCUGGAAGCAGUCUGAAUCACUGAAAACUGCAAGUCAGCACUGUCUGAAAAAAAUGGAGUAUAUCGGCCUUCGUGCAGCCAUCCAUUGAAUAUGGAUUUGAACUCGUCCAACACCCACCCCAUUCAUCUGAUUUGGCACUCAGAGUCCUACCUCUUCCCCAAGAUGAAGAGGGAGUUCAGUGGUUGCCAUUUUGACAGUGAUGAUGACAUCAUCGCUGCUGUGGACCACUUUCUCAGACUUACAAUUUUCAAUUACCCGAAACUGAAAUACCACAAAAGUUAUUAACUUCAAACUCUCUGCAUCAUCAUUCAAACUGAUGCUGUACAUGCACGUGCUGAACUGCACAGGGAUGUAACUGAGAGCUGUUUAACUCAUCUGCCUCUACCUUAGGUCAAAAAUUCCCCUCCUAGUCAGAGAGGCUCUAACUACUGAUUCUCUUUCUGCUCAGUUUUCAGUCUUUACUAAUGAUAAUGCAACUAAUUGCAAAUCCAUUCAUUUGAAUAUGAGUGACAUCGUUUUGUGUAUUAGCUGUACUGUAUAUAUGUGGUGACAAAACAAGAAAAAGGAAACUUAGUGAAACAAAGAUUUGUAUUUGUGACCAGAAACAGUUUGACAGUCUUGAAAUGCACAUCAUGGCAUCUUUUUUUAAUCCAGGUAAAAAGCUUCUUUCUCAAACACCACACUUAAGGCUUCUGUGAGAAAUAAAUAAUAUUUUAUAUCAUCCCCAGUCAAUCACCCCUUUUCAUCACUGACAAGAUAGAUGUGACACUGCACACUAAUUACACUCUCCCUCUGGGUACAUUUCAUCUAAUAUGGAACAGAAACCACCUCACCUUCACCAUUCCCUGCUCAGCAUGUAUAGACUGUAGGUGAUGGUUCUCAACACCUGAGAUGAAAGUAACAAUAAAAAUAAGGCUGAACUCCGCUUAAGGCUGAGCACUUUAAAGACACAAGCCUGAAAUUUUGUGGUUCUUUCAUCCCUUUUGCGCUGCCCCACCUGAAGGAAAACAACUGAAAAGCUGUAAACACACUGAGAUGAUUUGGAUACUUCAGUCCAGCUGCCUGUCUGAGUCCCCCCUUUCCUCACCCCGGCGCUUCCCCUUCUUCUUCCCCUCCCUUUGUGGCUGCAGUUGUUUGACUCCUACAGGCUGUUUGAGUCAUGCUGGCUACUGGCCUGGCAUCCACCUUCGCAAGCCACAG
Molecule: long non-coding RNA, 2599 nt
Organism: Lates calcarifer (barramundi perch)
Lineage: Eukaryota; Metazoa; Chordata; Actinopteri; Centropomidae
Exons: 2
Source: RefSeq, a predicted model, not a curated record